RNAcentral lists this non-coding RNA (26 nucleotides) under Homo sapiens (human). The record is from RNAcentral. Lineage: Eukaryota; Metazoa; Chordata; Mammalia; Primates; Hominidae.
UACUGUGUGCAGCCGGGACUUGUUUC